RNAcentral lists this ribosomal RNA (253 nucleotides) under uncultured bacterium. RNAcentral describes it as "partial 16S ribosomal RNA". It matches the Rfam family "Bacterial small subunit ribosomal RNA", at positions 524 to 776 of the family's 1533-position model. The record is from RNAcentral.
UACGUAGGGUGCAAGCGUUAAUCGGAAUUACUGGGCGUAAAGCGUGCGCAGGCGGCUUUGCAAGGCAGAUGUGAAAUCCCCGGGCUUAACCUGGGAACUGCAUUUGUGACUGCAUGGCUGGAGUGCGGCAGAGGGGGAUGGAAUUCCGCGUGUAGCAGUGAAAUGCGUAGAUAUCAGGAGGAAUACCGAUGGCGAAGGCAGGUCUCUGGGCUAGAACUGACGCUCAUGCACGAAAGCGUGGGGAGCAAACAGG